CCUACGGGUGGCAGCAGUGAGGAAUAUUGGUCAAUGGACGAGAGUCUGAACCAGCCAAGUAGCGUGAAGGAUGACUGCCCUAUGGGUUGUAAACUUCUUUUAUAUGGGAAUAAAAUGUUCAACGUGUGGGAUUUUGUAUGUAUCAUAUGAAUAUGGAUCGGCUAACUCCGUGCCAGCAGCCGCGGUAAUACGGAGGAUCCGAGCGUUAUCCGGUUUUAUUGGGUUUAAAGGGAACGUAUGUGGAUUGAUAAGUCAGUUGUUAAAGUUUGCGGCUCAACCGUAAAAUUGCAGUUGAAACUGGCAGUCUUGAGUACAGUAGAGGUGGGCGGAAUUCGUGGUGUAGCGGUGAAAUGCUUAGAUAUCACGAAGAACUCCGAUUGCGAAGGCAGUUCACUGGACUGCAACUGACACUGAGGCUCGAAAGUGAGGGUAUCAAACAGGAUUAGAUACCCCUGUAGUC
This 460-nucleotide ribosomal RNA is filed under the name uncultured bacterium. RNAcentral describes it as "partial 16S ribosomal RNA". It matches the Rfam family "Bacterial small subunit ribosomal RNA", at positions 338 to 795 of the family's 1533-position model. The record is from RNAcentral.